CCCUUAGAUGCCCUGGGCCGCACGCGCGCUACACUGACAUGUUCAACAAGCCUCCUAGUUCGACAGGAUUUGGGAAAUCUUUGAACGCAUGUCGUGAUAGGGAUAGAUCAUUGCAAUUAUUGAUCUUGAACGAGGAAUUCCUAGUAAACGCGAGUCAUCAGCUCGCAUUGAUUACGUCCCUGCCCUUUGUACACACCGCCCGUCGCACCUACCGAUUGAAUGUUUCGGUGAAGAUUCCGGAUAGGACUUUUUUGAUUUAUUUCAAUUUUGUCUUAAAAGCUAUCUAAACCUCAACAUUUAGAGGAAGGUGAAGUCGUAACA
RNAcentral lists this ribosomal RNA (321 nucleotides) under uncultured eukaryote. Its description in RNAcentral is "partial 18S ribosomal RNA". It matches the Rfam family "Eukaryotic small subunit ribosomal RNA", at positions 1470 to 1796 of the family's 1831-position model. The record is from RNAcentral.